CCUACGGGUGGCAGCAGUGAGGAAUAUUGGUCAAUGGGCGUAAGCCUGAACCAGCCAAGUCGCAUGAAGGAUGACGGUUCUACGGAUUGUAAACCUCUUUUAUAAGGGAAUAAAGUGCGGCACGUGUGCCUUUUUGUAUGUACUUUAUGAAUAAGGAUCGGCUAACUCCGUGCCAGCAGCCGCGGUAAUACGGAGGAUCCGAGCGUUAUCCGGAUUUAUUGGGUUUAAAGGGUGCGUAGACGGCUUGUUAAGUCAGCGGUGAAAGUUUGCGGCUCAACCAUAGAAUUGCCGUUGAUACUGGGAGGCUUGAGUAUGUUUGAGGCAGGCGGAAUGCGUGGUGUAGCGGUGAAAUGCUUAGAUAUCACGCAGAACCCCGAUUGCGAAGGCAGCUUACCAAGCCAUGACUGACACUGAUGCACGAAAGUGUGGGGAUCAAACAGGAUUAGAUACCCGAGUAGUC
Molecule: ribosomal RNA, 460 nt
Filed under: uncultured bacterium
Lineage: Bacteria
Description: partial 16S ribosomal RNA
Rfam family: Bacterial small subunit ribosomal RNA
Source: RNAcentral